GCUUAAAGAGGGGUUAAUGUCCUAUCAGCUAGUUGGUGGGGCAAUGGCCUACCAAGGCAAAGACGGGUAGCCGGCUUGAGAGGGUGGUCGGCCACACUGGGACUGAGACACUGCCCAGACUCCUACGGGAGGCUGCAGUCGAGAAUCUUUCGCAAUGCCCGAAAGGGUGACGAAGCGACGCCGCGUGUGGGAAGAAGGCCUUCGGGUUGUAAACCACUGUCGGGAGUUAGGAAACGCAAGAGCGUUAACAGCGCACUUGCUUGACUAAGGCUCCAGAGGAAGCCACGGCUAACUCUGUGCCAGCAGCCGCGGUAAUACAGAGGCGGCAAGCGUUGUUCGGAAUUAUUGGGCGUAAAGAGCACGUAGGCGGCCUUGCAAGUCAGUUGUGAAAGCCUUCCGCUUAACGGAAGAACGGCAUCUGAUACUACAGGGCUUGAGUAUGGGAGGG
Molecule: ribosomal RNA, 448 nt
Filed under: uncultured Planctomycetota bacterium
Lineage: Bacteria; Pseudomonadati; Planctomycetota
Description: bacterial SSU rRNA
Rfam family: Bacterial small subunit ribosomal RNA
Source: RNAcentral